AGGUUCGAAAUAUUUUCCUAACAAAAUACCACCCGCUGAACUUAAGCAUAUGGAUCCCAAAAGAGCAGAGGAGUCUAGAGUCGUCGUCCUUGCAAGUGUUCUAUUUUCUACGCGAAUAACUGUACUUU
RNAcentral lists this ribosomal RNA (128 nucleotides) under Gracilaria sp. NKT57. RNAcentral's name for it is "partial 18S ribosomal RNA". The record is from RNAcentral. Lineage: Eukaryota; Rhodophyta; Florideophyceae; Gracilariales; Gracilariaceae.